AAUUUAGCAGAGAUGCUUUAGUGCCUUCGGGAACUCUGAGACAGGUGCUGCAUGGCUGUCGUCAGCUCGUGUUGUGAAAUGUUGGGUUAAGUCCGCAACGAGCGCAACCCCUAUCCUUUGUUGCCAGCGAUUCGGUCGGGAACUCAAAGGAGACUGCCGGUGAUAAACCGGAGGAAGGUGGGGAUGACGUCAAGUCAUCAUGGCCCUUACGAGUAGGGCUACACACGUGCUACAAUGGCGCAUACAAAGAGAAGCGACCUCGCGAGAGCAAGCGGACCUCAUAAAGUGCGUCGUAGUCCGGAUUGGAGUCUGCAACUCGACUCCAUGAAGUCGGAAUCGCUAGUAAUCGUAGAUCAGAAUGCUACGGUGAAUACGUUCCCGGGCCUUGUACACACCGCCCGUCACACCAUGGGAGUGGGUUGCAAAAGAAGUAGAUAGCUUAACCUUCGGGAGGGCGUUUACCACUUUGUGAUUCAUGACUGGGGUGAAGUCGUAACAAGGUAAGCGUAGCGAG
Molecule: ribosomal RNA, 514 nt
Filed under: uncultured bacterium
Lineage: Bacteria
Description: bacterial SSU rRNA
Rfam family: Bacterial small subunit ribosomal RNA
Source: RNAcentral